Molecule: long non-coding RNA, 403 nt
Filed under: Citrus x clementina
Lineage: Eukaryota; Viridiplantae; Streptophyta; Magnoliopsida; Sapindales; Rutaceae
Description: Citrus clementina (C. clementina) long non-coding RNA (CCLE_LNC006690)
Source: RNAcentral
CCGCCGGCGACUUCCCCCUCCACCUCACCAACAUCUCAUGCACCUUCGGCUAAUCCUCCUAAAGGGUCCUCUCCGACGCCGGCAACUUCACCUUCCACGUCUUCGCCUUAUCCUCCAAAAGGAUACUCUCCAGUGCCGGCGACUUCACCUUCCACGUCACCAUCAUCUCAUGCGCCUUCGCCUUAUCCUCCAAAAGGGUACUCUCCGGUGCCGGCAACUUCACCUUCUACGUCACCAUCAUCAUCCCAAUCACCUGCGGCUAAUGCUCCAACUGGGCUGUCACCGGCUCCGGGAACUUCCCCCUCCACGUCACCGUCAUCGCAACCACCUGCGGCUAAUGCUCCAACUGGGCUGUCACCGGCUCCGGGAACUUCCCCCUCCACGUCACCGUCAUCGCAGCCAC